CCGACUGCCUUGACGCUGGCGCCGGCCAGGUGGCCUGGGGUCUCUCCGGUGACACUUACUGGGCGUGCCCCUCCUUGUCCCUGUACCCUUCCCAUCUGGGCCACCAAGACUGGGGUUCGGCCUCAGCUCGGCGACCCCUCGGGAGACGUUUUUCCAGCCCCAGGGAAGGAGCCCCGGAGGAGUCGCUGUGAUGGGCGGGGACACCCACGUGGUGCCGGAGGCCCUUCUUCUCCGAGAAGCACCUUCGUGGGACCUAAGGUCCCCUUUCCCCAAUGGCCCGGGCGCCUGCCACCUCGUGCCUGUGACCCGGACGCCGAAGGGAUCCGGGCGACAGGGAGCUUCAUGCUCCUUUUCAAUGAAAAGUUAACAUUUGGAGAAUCAAACCGACCCGGGGCGGAGGCGCACACCCCGGGAUGGUGUCGGGGUUCUUGGCGCACUCGGGGCCCUCGCCUGCCAACCGGUGCUAAUAACCCGGACGCCGCCAGUUUAGGAAGUGGAUGAGAUCAUGGAUCCGAAAUGCUUUAAGUUUCCGCGGCGAGCAGUGUAACAACAGGGUUAGCGACAAACCGAGGGGAUUUCAACCACACAUCCAUUCCCCCGCCACAAAUGCCUUUCAGCUGCCACUUCGCAUGGUGGCUCAGUCCAGUUCAAGAUGCUGAAAAACUUCAGGGCUGGUGCUUGACAGAAGCUUUUCACAUAAAUAAGGUGUCCUUGAACAUGUGACAAUUGAUAAUAUACAAAAAAGUUUUUGCUUUCUUUGUCCCUUUCGUGGUAGCAGGCGUAAAUUUUGAGAAGGUGCCAAAUAUCUGUAAGAACAUAUUAUCUGCCCCAUAUGAAAUUUCCAUAGAAUAUAAUUCCAUUAUUUAAAGGAUUUUUUUCUAACAGCCUGCAGUUUGACACAGUAACUAGACUAGCUAGUCUACAACUAUCGUGGACAACUUUAUCAAUUGCUUUAAUUUUCAAAGAUUAUUUUAAAAUUCCACUCUUCACUGUUCUAAAGAUUAUGUGUUCCAAAGUACCCCUUUAAAAACUAGGUUUUAUAUCCUUCAGAUUUUUCCAUAAGAGAUCACUUUAAUGAUUAAAUUUGACCCUUUUGACAAAACUAAUCAAUGGAUUCCUAAGGGGAAGAGUUGGUUGCACAAGGGCAGGAGGGAGUUUUGAGGAACUGUUUUACAUCUUGAUUAUGGUGGUAAAUUGCAUCGGUCAAAUUUGGAGUGAGUUUUACUGACUGUAAAUUAUGCUUCAAUAAACACGACUUUUAAAACUUACCUUUUCUGGCAUCAUUGACAUUUCCGAUGAAGUUGAUGAGAAGGCAGUGGGGUCAGCACUUGAAUGAUUUCCUGAGACACUAAAAGUGACAAA
Molecule: long non-coding RNA, 1362 nt
Organism: Rhinolophus ferrumequinum (greater horseshoe bat)
Lineage: Eukaryota; Metazoa; Chordata; Mammalia; Chiroptera; Rhinolophidae
Exons: 3
Source: RefSeq, a predicted model, not a curated record